This 314-nucleotide unclassified non-coding RNA is filed under the name plant metagenome. RNAcentral describes it as "partial contains 5.8S ribosomal RNA, internal transcribed spacer 2, and large subunit ribosomal RNA". The stretch from base 1 to 105 matches the Rfam family "5.8S ribosomal RNA", at positions 50 to 154 of the family's 154-position model. The record is from RNAcentral.
GAAAUGUGAUAAUUAAUGUGAAUUGCAGAAUUCAGUGAAUCAUCGAGUCUUUGAACGCACAUUGCGCCCCCUGGUAUUCCGGGGGGCAUUCCUGUCCGAGCGUCAUUGCUGCCCUCAAGCACGGCUUGUGUGUUGGGCUUCCGUCCCUGGCAACGGGGACGGGCCCAAAAGGCAGUGGCGGCACCAUGUCUGGUCCUCGAGCGUAUGGGGCUUUGUCACCCGCUCCCGUAGGUCCAGCUGGCAGCUAGCCUCGCAACCAAUCUUUUUAACCAGGUUGACCUCGGAUCAGGUAGGGAUACCCGCUGAACUUAAGC